UACGGGAGGCAGCAGUGGGGAAUAUUGCACAAUGGGCGCAAGCCUGAUGCAGCCAUGCCGCGUGUAUGAAGAAGGCCUUCGGGUUGUAAAGUACUUUCAGUCGUGAGGAAGGUGUUAAGGUUAAUAACCUUAGCAAUUGACGUUAGCGACAGAAGAAGCACCGGCUAACUCCGUGCCAGCAGCCGCGGUAAUACGGAGGGUGCGAGCGUUAAUCGGAAUUACUGGGCGUAAAGGGCACGCAGGCGGUUAAUUAAGUUGGAUGUGAAAUCCCCGGGCUUAACCUGGGAAUGGCAUUCAAGACUGGUUAGCUAGAGUCUUGUAGAGGGGGUAGAAUUCCAUGUGUAGCGGUGAAAUGCGUAGAGAUGUGGAGGAAUACCGGUGGCGAAGGCGGCCCCUGGACAAAGACUGACGCUCAUGUGCGAAAGCGUGGGGAGCGAAACG
This 441-nucleotide ribosomal RNA is filed under the name uncultured bacterium. RNAcentral describes it as "bacterial SSU rRNA". It matches the Rfam family "Bacterial small subunit ribosomal RNA", at positions 340 to 775 of the family's 1533-position model. The record is from RNAcentral.